RNAcentral lists this long non-coding RNA (497 nucleotides) under Solanum tuberosum (potato). RNAcentral's name for it is "long non-coding RNA (STUB_LNC011392)". Lineage: Eukaryota; Viridiplantae; Streptophyta; Magnoliopsida; Solanales; Solanaceae. The record is from RNAcentral.
CAGCAUUAUCCAAAUAAUUUUAAAAAUCACAUUUAAAUUUAAGAAAUCUUUUUAUAUGGAAACAAAACUCACAAUCCACAAAAAGCUAACCUGUAAAUUAUCAGCAUAAUAAAUAUCUUCUCAGAAAUGAUACAUAGCAUAUAAUCUGAUCAUAUUUAAAAAGGGCACCAAAAUUUGAAAUGGGAAAUAGUAAUAUUCUUCAUAAUUUGCUGCAACCCACAAAAUGGUACCUCAAAAAAAAAUCAUGAAGUCUAAUUUAGUUCUUGUUGAAAACUUAGCACACGUUAAAAUAUCAUGUCAGAGAAAAUGAUAGAUAUAAAGACACUGAUAAUCUUAAUUUGGUGUAGAAACAGAAAGUUAUUAUAUGCCAGGAAACUUAUGCCAUACACCAUAUAUGUAGUAGCAGUUAGCAAUUAAAUCAUAAAUAAAUUAACUUACAGUAAUUUAUGAAACAUUAGUAGGAGGCAGUUACACAAGUUGUUAGAAAAGUUUGGACA